AAGUGCCUUAAAAUGAAAAGAGGCAGCCUUUAUAUAGGCUGCAAAUCCUAAUUCGACUAGGAAUAUAAUUGUAUAGGAAAGAAAUAACUAGAAUAAGGAAAGCAAAUACUAUAGUUGGAAAAGUAAAUAAAUCCUAAUAUUACGACAUUAAUUAAGACUCCUAAAUAAGGAGGCAAUCUGGCAGAAGGGUACUCCAAUGGUAACUGCAGUUCCUGAUUUCUCUACAAUUAUAUUAUAUCCUGCAAUCUGCACUGCUUC
This 258-nucleotide long non-coding RNA is filed under the name Populus trichocarpa (black cottonwood). Its description in RNAcentral is "long non-coding RNA (PTRI_LNC004286)". The record is from RNAcentral. Lineage: Eukaryota; Viridiplantae; Streptophyta; Magnoliopsida; Malpighiales; Salicaceae.